This 253-nucleotide ribosomal RNA is filed under the name uncultured bacterium. RNAcentral's name for it is "partial 16S ribosomal RNA". It matches the Rfam family "Bacterial small subunit ribosomal RNA", at positions 524 to 776 of the family's 1533-position model. The record is from RNAcentral.
UACGUAGGGGGCAAGCGUUGUCCGGAUUUAUUGGGCGUAAAGAGCGUGUAGGCGGUUUGGUAGGUCCGUUGUGAAAACUCGAGGCUCAACCUCGAGACGCCGGCGGAAACCAUCAGGCUAGAGUCCGGAAGAGGAGAGUGGAAUUCCUGGUGUAGCGGUGAAAUGCGCAGAUAUCAGGAAGAACGCCCGUGGCUAAGGCGGCUCUCUAGUACGGUACUGACGCUGAGACGCGAAAGCGUGGGGAGCGAACAGG